Molecule: ribosomal RNA, 253 nt
Filed under: uncultured bacterium
Lineage: Bacteria
Description: partial 16S ribosomal RNA
Rfam family: Bacterial small subunit ribosomal RNA
Source: RNAcentral
UACGAAGGGGGCGAGCGUUGUUCGGAAUUACUGGGCGUAAAGGGCGCGUAGGCGGCCGAUCAAGUCAGAUGUGAAAGUCCUGGGCUUAACCUGGGGACUGCAUUUGAUACUGAUUGGCUUGAAUUCGGGAGAGGAUAGCGGAAUUCCCAGUGUAGAGGUGAAAUUCGUAGAUAUUGGGAAGAACACCGGUGGCGAAGGCGGCUAUCUGGACCGAUACUGACGCUGAGGAGCGAAAGCCAGGGGAGCAAACGGG